Molecule: ribosomal RNA, 434 nt
Filed under: uncultured Desulfobulbus sp.
Lineage: Bacteria; Pseudomonadati; Thermodesulfobacteriota; Desulfobulbia; Desulfobulbales; Desulfobulbaceae
Description: bacterial SSU rRNA
Rfam family: Bacterial small subunit ribosomal RNA
Source: RNAcentral
CGAUGCAACGCGAAGAACCUUACUGGUCUUGACAUCCCGGAGACCCUUAGGAAACUAGGGGUGCUUCCAUCUGGAAGAAUCUGGAGACAGGUGCUGCAUGGCUGUCGUCAGCUCGUGUCGUGAGAUGUUGGGUUAAGUCCCGCAACGAGCGCAACCCUUGCCUUUAGUUGCCAGCAGUUCGGCUGGGCACUCUAAAGGGACUGCCGGUGUUAAACCGGAGGAAGGUGGGGAUGACGUCAAGUCCUCAUGGCCUUUAUGACCAGGGCUACACACGUACUACAAUGGCCGAUACAAAGGGCAGCGACACUGCGAGGUGAAGCCAAUCCCGUAAAAUCGGUCUCAGUCCGGAUUGGAGUCUGCAACUCGACUCCAUGAAGUUGGAAUCGCUAGUAAUCGUGGAUCAGCAUGCCACGGUGAAUACGUUCCCGGGCCUU